Molecule: ribosomal RNA, 433 nt
Filed under: uncultured bacterium
Lineage: Bacteria
Description: partial 16S ribosomal RNA
Rfam family: Bacterial small subunit ribosomal RNA
Source: RNAcentral
AACGAACGCUGGCGGCAUGCCUAACACAUGCAAGUCGAACGAGACCUUCGGGUCUAGUGGCGCACGGGUGCGUAACGCGUGGGAACCUGCCCUUAGGUUCGGAAUAACUCCCCGAAAGGGGUGCUAAUACCGGAUAAUGUCUUCGGACCAAAGAUUUAUCGCGUUUGGAUGGGCCCGCGUUGGAUUAGCUAGUUGGUAGGGUAAAAGCCUACCAAGGCGACGAUCCAUAGCUGGUCUGAGAGGAUGAUCAGCCACACUGGGACUGAGACACGGCCCAGACUCCUACGGGAGGCAGCAGUGGGGAAUAUUGGACAAUGGGCGAAAGCAUGAUCCAGCAAUGCCGCGUGAGUGAUGAAGGCCUUAGGGUUGUAAAGCUCUUUUACCCGGGAUGAUAAUGACAGUACCGGGAGAAUAAGCGCCGGCUAACUCCGUG